Long non-coding RNA from Oncorhynchus keta (chum salmon), 740 nucleotides. RefSeq lists it as uncharacterized. The record is from RefSeq and is a predicted model, not a curated record. Lineage: Eukaryota; Metazoa; Chordata; Actinopteri; Salmoniformes; Salmonidae. The transcript is spliced from 6 exons.
GUGUUUGUGAAGAUGGUAGGUUGGACUGUUUGUGAAGAUGGUAGGUUGGACUGUUUGUGAAGAUGGUAGGUUGGAGUGUGUGUGAAGAUGGUAGGUUGGAGUGUGUGUGAAGAUGGUAGGUUGGAGUGUUUGUGAAGAUGGUAGGUUGGACUGUUUGUGAAGAUGGUAGGUUGGAGUGUUUGUUCGAAGAUGGCAUGUUGGAGUGUUUGUGAAGAUGGUAGGUUGGACUGUUUGUGAAGAUGGUAGGUUGGAGUGUGUGUGAAGAUGGUAGGUUGGAGUGUGUGUGAAGAUGGUAGGUUGGACUGUUUGUGAAGAUGGUAGGUUGGACUGUUUGUGAAGAUGGUAGGUUGGACUGUUUGUGAAGAUGGUAGGUUGGAGUGUGUGUGAAGAUGGUAGGUUGGAUUGUUUGUGAAGAUGGUAGGUUGGACUGUUUGUGAAGAUGGUAGGUUGGACUGUUUGUGAAGAUGGUAGGUUGGACUGUUUGUGAAGAUGGUAGGUUGGAGUGUGUGUGAAGAUGGUAGGUUGGACUGUUUGUGAAGAUGGUAGGUUGGAGUGUGUGUGAAGAUGGUAGGUUGGAUUGUUUGUGAAGAUGGUAGGUUGGACUGUUUGUGAAGAUGGUAGGUUGGACUGUUUGUGAAGAUGGUAGGUUGGACUGUUUGUGUGAAGAUGGUAGGUUGGACUGUUUGUGUGAAGAUGGUAGGUUGGACUGUUUGUGAAGAUGGUAGGUUGGAGUGUUUGUG